AAAAAGACAAACCCUGGGUUUCUGUGUCUAACUUUGAUUGUCCGUCUUUAUGAAAUUUUUUUAUAAUUCGUAUUUUUAUUGUUGUUAGAUGAUAAAACAUGAUUAAUAUUUUAUGCGUGACUUGUAUUUUUAAUUUUUUUAUAAUUUUUUCAAAUAAAACGGAUGGUCAAACGUUGGACAUGAAAACCAAGGUUUGUCUUUUUU
This is a microRNA precursor of Oryza sativa Japonica Group (Japanese rice), 204 nucleotides long. It matches the Rfam family "MIR812 microRNA precursor family". Lineage: Eukaryota; Viridiplantae; Streptophyta; Magnoliopsida; Poales; Poaceae. The record is from Rfam.